AGUGAACGCCGGCGGUAGACCUAACACGUGCAAGUCGAACGGCAGCACAGUAAGAGCUUGCUCUUACGGGUGGCGAGUGGCGGACGGGUGAGGAAUACAUCGGAAUCUACUUUUUCGUGGGGGAUAACGUAGGGAAACUUACGCUAAUACCGCAUACGACCUACGGGUGAAAGCAGGGGAUCUUCGGACCUUGCGCGAUUGAAUGAGCCGAUGUCGGAUUAGCUAGUUGGCGGGGUAAAGGCCCACCAAGGCGACGAUCCGUAGCUGGUCUGAGAGGAUGAUCAGCCACACUGGAACUGAGACACGGUCCAGACUCCUACGGGAGGCAGCAGUGGGGAAUAUUGGACAAUGGGCGCAAGCCUGAUCCAGCCAUACCGCGUGGGUGAAGAAGGCCUUCGGGUUGUAAAGCCCUUUUGUUGGGAAAGAAAAGCAGCAGGUUAAUACCCCGCUGUUCUGACGGUACCCAAAGAAUAAGCACCGGCUAACUUCGUG
RNAcentral lists this ribosomal RNA (492 nucleotides) under uncultured bacterium. RNAcentral describes it as "partial 16S ribosomal RNA". It matches the Rfam family "Bacterial small subunit ribosomal RNA", at positions 29 to 507 of the family's 1533-position model. The record is from RNAcentral.